This 1462-nucleotide ribosomal RNA is filed under the name uncultured Bordetella sp. Its description in RNAcentral is "partial 16S-23S ribosomal RNA intergenic spacer". It matches the Rfam family "Bacterial small subunit ribosomal RNA". Lineage: Bacteria; Pseudomonadati; Pseudomonadota; Betaproteobacteria; Burkholderiales; Alcaligenaceae. The record is from RNAcentral.
GGUUUGAUUCUGGCUCAGAUUGAACGCUGGCGGGAUGCUUACACAUGCAAGUCGAACGGCAGCACGGACUUCGGUCUGGUGGCGAGGGCGAACGGGUGAGUAAUGUAUCGGAACGUGCCUAGUAGCGGGGAUAACUACGCGAAAGCGAAGCAUUACCGCAUACGGCCCUUCGGGGGAAAGCGGGGGACCUUUCGGGCCUUCGCACUAUUAGAGCGGCCGAUAUCGGAUUAGCUAGUUGGUGGGGUAACGGCUCACCAAGGCGACGAUCCGUAGCUGGUUUGAGAGGACGACCAGCCACAACGGGACUGAGACACGGCCCAGACUCCUACGGAGGCAGCAGUGGGGAAUUUUUGGACAAUGGGGGAAACCCUGAUCCAGCCAUCUCGCGUGUGUGAUGAAGGCCUUCGGGGUUGUAAAAGCACUUUUGGCAGGAAGAAAACGGCACGGGAUAAUACCCCGUGCAACUGACGGUACCUGCAGAAUAAGCACCGGCUAACUACGUGCCAGCAGCCGCGGUAAUACGUAGGGUGCAAGCGUUAAUCGGAAUUACCGGGCGUAAAGCGUGCGCAGGCGGUUCGGAAAGAAAGAUGUGAAAUCCCAGAGUUUAAACUUGGAACUGCAUUUUUAACUACUGAGCUAGAGUGUGUCAGAGGGAGGUGGAAUUCCGCGUGUGCAGCAGUGAAAUGCGUAGAUAUGCGGAGGAACACCGAUGGCGAAGGCAGCCUCCUGGAGCAACACUGACGCUCAUGCACGAAAGCGUGGGGAGCAACAGAUUAGAUACCCUGGUAGUCCACGCCCUAAACGAUGUCAACUAGCUGUUGGGGCCUUCGGGCCUUUGCAGCGCAGCUAACGCGUGAAGUUGACCGCCUGGGGAGUACGGUCGCAAGAUUAAAACUCAAAGGAAUUGACGGGGACUCGCACAAGCGGUGGAUGAGAUUAAUUCGAUGCAACGCGAAAAACCUUACCUACCCUUGACAUGUCUGGAAUCCCGAAGAGAUUUGGAGUGCUCGCAAGAGAACCGGAACACAGGUGCUGCAUGCCGCUGUCAGCUCGUGUCGUGAGAUGUUGCUGAAAGUCCCGCAACGAGCGCAACCCUUGUCAUUAGUUGCUACGAAAGGGCACUCUAAUGAGAUCGCCGGUGACAAACCGGAGGAAGGUGGGGAUGACGUCAAGUCCUCAUGGCCCUUAUGGGUAGGGCUUCACACGUCAUACAAUGGUCGGGACAGAGGGUCGCCAACCCGCGAGGGGAGCCAAUCCCAGAAACCCGAUCGUAGUCCGAUCGCAGUCUGCAACUCGACUGCGUGAAGUCGGAAUCGCUAGUAAUCGCGGAUCAGCAUGUCGCGGUGAAUACGUUCCCGGUCUUGUACACACCGCCCGUCACACCAUGGGAGUGGGGUUUUACCAGAAGUAGUUAGCCUAACCGUAAGGAGGGCGAUUACCACGGUAGGAUUCAUGACUGGGG